RNAcentral lists this long non-coding RNA (759 nucleotides) under Oryzias javanicus (javanese ricefish). RNAcentral describes it as "lncRNA (ENSOJAG00000008188.1)". The record is from RNAcentral. Lineage: Eukaryota; Metazoa; Chordata; Actinopteri; Beloniformes; Adrianichthyidae.
AGUUUUUAUGCGAGUGAGAUCAAAGUCUGACACUAAGAGGGCAACUCAUUUUCACUUUGCACGUGCGUUUUUUUCUUUUUUUUUUUGAGUGAUGGAACAGCUACAACCGAGUCUCUCAAUCAGGGAGAAAUCAAAGCAAACAUCUGCGGAAUGAGUGUGCGUCUGCCACCGAACGUGACGGGCAUGCAUGUGUCAGCUCGCUGGAGUGGAACUCCUUUGACGGGCAUGUUCUGCGCAUGGGCACGGCGCCAGCGUGGAGAAGGAAAAGCCUCUGAGCAUCAGGCUGCAGAUGUUUGAAUGAAAGGAGCAGUUUGUUCGGGUGCAACUCAAUCGGCUCGUCUCUGCUGGUGCAGUUUUGGUCUCCACUCCAUCCAUCAAGUUUCACUUUUAUUUUUAGGUCAUUUGAAUCCGCCGCUGGGGCAGAAUGAUUUCUUACACCAGGGAUGAUCUCUUCAUACAAAUGCAGGUGGCUACAGCGGCUCCGCCCCAACCAGUCCAUUUCAUGAUUCUAUGGGUCUACAACAGAUGGGGGCCUUCAACAGGUACAGUUUUAAAUGCGACUGCCUGCUGAUGAAUGUUCUUGAUGCUGAUCCGGGAACAGAGAGCAUCACUGCUGCUUUAAAGCGGAGAGCAGCCCCUCCCUCCCCUGCGUCAGCAUCAGCAUCACCCACAGGCGGCAGGAUGGCGAUCGAUCCGGCAGUGGAGCGUUCAGCUCAGAAGGGGAUUUGUGAGGAGGACCUGAUCACGCAGGAGAGCUGA